This 214-nucleotide long non-coding RNA is filed under the name Gossypium barbadense (sea-island cotton). Its description in RNAcentral is "long non-coding RNA (GBAR_LNC018133)". The record is from RNAcentral. Lineage: Eukaryota; Viridiplantae; Streptophyta; Magnoliopsida; Malvales; Malvaceae.
UUGCAGUGGGAGAAGGCCCUAACACAUGGAUCGAACAUUCAGAGCAAGCGAUGGGAAAUUUGUUUCCUCAAUUGUAGUGCAUUAUUAUUGUUGUAAUAAGGUUGUGUUUGUAAGUCAAUCAUAGUCCCUGGCACGUACUCCUGCAUUAUAGAUAUCCACCAUUGUAGUUUGUUGUAUGACACGUCUUAGUCACCAUACAACUAAUCCAUUGCCA